RNAcentral lists this long non-coding RNA (2287 nucleotides) under Anas platyrhynchos platyrhynchos (common mallard). RNAcentral's name for it is "lncRNA (ENSAPLG00000021089.1)". The record is from RNAcentral. Lineage: Eukaryota; Metazoa; Chordata; Aves; Anseriformes; Anatidae.
UUGCAAAAUUUUACUUUGAUCUGUUUUGUCCUACAGGCGUUAGAAGUAACUUAUGAAACUAUCUGUCUCCAUUAAGGAAGGCAUUCCAGGAGUAACAUUUCCAAAAUUCUCUCAGGAACUACACUACAAAGAAUUGAAGAAAGAAUCCUUCUCUAUAGUGGAUUUUCUGUUGAGUUCUGUAUGUCCUGAAUUUCACUCAAGAUGAACAACUUCCUUCUUAAUAUGUUUCUACUGUCCGUCCACUCUGCUCUUAGUCUAAAUAACAACAACAAAAUCCCCUCAAAUGUAUUGUAAGAACAAAUUUGAACAAUUAAUAAGAUCUAAAUAUGGAAGGGAGCAAUCUACUUUAUGCAUACAAGAAAAAAAAAUGUUGCAAAAUGCAGAAACUUGAACAACAACAAAAAAGUCCUUUUCAAAACUGUUACUGAGACUUUUUGUAACAAGUCAAAAUAUCGCUAAGCACCGAUGAAGUCCUGUACAAGUUCUUUUCAGAUGCUUCUGAAACUCCUCCAUAUAUUUUUCAGGAUAUCUGAUAAAAGAAAAGCCUAGCUGAGAGUUUUACCUCUGUAAAUCUAUAUGAAUGCUAUUGUAAGGACAGACAUUUAAGACCCGCUGGUUGCGUAUUCAGUGCUGCCAUCUUAGCUGUUUUAAUAGUAAUUCAUAGACUAACUCAUAGACUCAGGGAUGUACUUCCAGCAUUUUCUUUUUUCCUUGUAGUCAGAGUGUUAAAAACUAAUGUUUUGAAUCUUUUGUGAAGGUAGUAUUCACAUUUGGAAAUGAAACUCUUCAACAUGACAGCCUGCUGCUGUCUGGGUUGGUUGGGACUAUCCAUUGCAAAGGAGUUUGCAAUGGCAUCUUCAACUGGAUCAGCUGAGAAUCAAUGAAUUGUUGUUCUGAUGAAUUCUUAUAAUCCACUUGGUCAGUGAUCCCAUAUAAGCACUCCCACACGUGCAUGACCCAUCUGUUGCUGUUGAUUAUCUUAAACCAUGUACAACUCUGGCAAACACAUUGAGAAGGUAGAGGAAGCCAUUCUAUGUGGCCACUCCUGAACCUGCAGGACUAGUUUCUUCAAUUUAAUAGAGUCUCACCUAUGUGCAAUUUGUUCAGAUUUGCACCUGGAACUGCCUGGGUGCUUCUCUAGGAUGGCCAGAGUCUCCAUCCAGGAUAUUAAUCAAUACAUGUAAGCAUAUACAUAGCACCCACCACAGCUGGUCCAUGCACAGCAGGACCUGCACCGGGGCAUUCUCUGGAUUCUCCAAAAUUCUCCUGAAGAGUCAUGUAGUAACUAGUUCCAAAGUUUUAUGGCAAAAGUGACUAAAAGUGGAAUCCAUUAUCAUGCCUGAAGUCAAUCUACUCUCACAUGUAUGCAGAAACCUGUGGUAUUCCUUGACCAUGUGGUAAAUUGAUGAAAGUGGAACACUUUGGGGUUUACCCUGAGCAUCUUUUUGUGUAUUUUGUUAUACUUCCUCAUGAAAACCUAUGGUCCCUAUCCAUUUGCAAAAAGAAGAUAUUCAAAAGAUGUUAAACAGAAGGGACAAGCAAAAAGAUUCUUCCACACACUUGCUUCUUUGGUCUAAAAAUAGGUCAUAGUUUUAGAAACAUUAAUUGAGCUUGAUAAUAAUUUUAGUGCCUAACAACCUAGAGGAAACCAGUUUUCAUUGAAAGGAAUAUUUCCAUUGUACCUGAAUGUGAGGACUUGACAAGCUUAGAGGCAGUGAUAAGUUUUCCUAUAACUAUCAUGGAUACUGAUUUUCAAGUAUAUAGAUCAUUUCCUCCUCACCUUCUGAAAAAGAAGAUAAAGCUCUGGUAUUGUCUUGACAAUAGUUCUUUCUGUAGGGCUUUUGGCAUUAUUAAGUCUACCCUAUGAGAAAUAUUUAUAAUAUACGUGAAACAUCAACUACAUCUGAAAGUAGGGAUGGGAUAGAUGAAGAUGCAAGAUGUAACACUUAACUAUAAAGCAUUACAUAAAAAGAAAAGGUGGAUAAACAUUAAUUUGAAAACAAAACCUGCUAACAUACAUUAUAGAUAAAAUUUGUCACUGUAGUUGUGACACAAAGAAUUGUGUCACAAAAAUACAUUCAGGUGAGAAGUGUUAUCCAGCAAAUUCUGAAUAGGAGAUAGAGAACUCUCAGGUUGUUCAGUACCAUGGAAUAAUUCACUAAUGAUUGCUCCUCACCUGUAAAAUUCCAGACUGAAUUUUCAUGGCAAGCCUAAAGAGAACCUGCUCACUUUAAAAGAAGAGAACAAAAAUAGUAAGAUGGGUAAAAUAAACUGCCAGAAUUCUUCA